This is a long non-coding RNA of Bombus huntii, 4127 nucleotides long. RefSeq lists it as uncharacterized. The record is from RefSeq and is a predicted model, not a curated record. NCBI's taxonomy places the organism in Eukaryota, Metazoa, Arthropoda, Insecta, Hymenoptera, Apidae. The transcript has 4 exons.
CCGGACAGACCACUUUCUAUUUCAUUUUUUCCCCCCUUUUUCAUGCGUUCGUCUCGCUCUCCUAAGGAUCCGGCCUUCUUACCCGAUCGACCGGGUGGACUGGUCUCGGGAACGGGCCCCUGCGUGUCCAGCAGCGGGCUAAACAAUGCUUAACGACCAGAGAGACGGACCUUUAACGAGCCCCUUUAAUGCGCCCAGGGUGUCACGAACCUCGCUGCUUUCGGCUACCGUGCAAACAAACGCGCUUCUAAUCUCUCGUGUCGUUCGGCCCGCUUGCCUCCGAAUCGGGAUAAUUUGCAGCGAUUUUCCUUUCCUGGACGAUGUAAAUUAGGAAUUUUUGAGAAACCUUGGAUAUCGCGUGCGUUUCCUUAGAACGGGCCAGGUAGAAAUAUCGUAUUUUUGGAACGACGGUCGUUUGGCUUUCUUCGCAUUAUCGCGUUCCUUUUACAAAACAGUGAGUUUGCUUUACAAGGCUAUUUCAUUUUAGAAUUCUUUGCCAUGUGAAAAACGAUAGUAUAAGAAUAUUUAUGUGUUUAUUGUGAUACCGAUCGUAAUACCGUAUACUAUUGGUAGAAAAAAUGGUAUCGAAGUAUUUCUUGGAUAAAAGUAAAUGGGAUUUCUUGGGAUUAUUAGACAAGAGUGUUUGAAGAGUUUCAGGGUCUCUUGCUUCGUCGAAAAAUAAUAGACUAGUUUUAUUGUAGUUAUUAUGAGCUUAAAAUAUAUCUCGAAGAAGUCGCGUAUUUCGAUGAAAGGAUCGAAGGAAGGUUCGAGAGAAAGAUCGAGGAAUCACAAAGCAAAGGAGGUUGCUGCAUUGCACCGAGUAUUACGAGCCAAUCGCAAGCGGUUACGGGUUCCGAGAAUAAAAGCAGCGAGAUUUGCUACGCGAAUUCCAAAUGAACGAGUACCAAUGUUUUAUUACCUGUGGCUUUUUAUAGAGCAGACCGACCAGAAUAUAUAAUUCCCUCUCUUCGAAUUUCUCUACGUUGGUUAUCUCUAUCUAUAGAGACAAACAAUAAAACAAAUCUACAUCGUGAUGCGACCCUAACAGUAACUCGAAGAUAGAGUAUCCAAAUCAUACCCAAAAACCAAAAACUAAAGAGACACAAGAAAUAAUAUUUCGCAAGGUUCCAAUAACUUUUUCCGCUCGAAUCAUCUGUGAACGAAUAAAAUCAGAAACAUCGGAGAAACAAGAAAGAUAAAGAAGAAUAAAGGGAAAACGAAAAGUCACGUUCGUUUCUUUUCCAGGGCUUUUUAUUUUCAACGAAACAGGCUUUCGAUGGAGAAAGUUCGAGGCGGAUAGAUAGCGUGUCCGUCGAACAUCACGCGCGCGCGCGUGUGCACGAUUCAGUCCCGGUCAUUGCACGCCUCCCUACGGAUCCCGAUUUUUCGGUUUUCGUCCUUUUUUUUUUUACGGAGGCCCUCUUCCUCUUCUUUUCGUCUCCCUUUGUGCUGUUUAAUCCUCAGCCCUCCGUCCCGCUGCUCCUUCGCUUCCUUGCACCGGCUGUCCUCGUCCCUCCGCCGCUUCGCCGCCGACGAAACUGCAUCGCGAUAUUUUAUUGGUUUUAUUCGCGGGAACAUCUGGCGCUCGGACAAAGGGAACUGGCCCUCAGGAAAUCUUCAGGAACGGAGGGUGGUUCGUCCGUUUUCGUUAGCCUGGUCGGCUCUAUUUACUUAUACCUAGUGACGUAGAAUGUUUGUAAACAAUGGCUUGGAUGCAGCCGUGGAUCGCCGAUCGACGCCAUCGUGGAUUAGGCUGCUCAUCCUGUCCAUUGAGGGUGGAUAUCUGAAGCGUCCAAUGGUCGACUCGAUACGUUUCUGGGGAAAGUACGAAGACGUUUUUGAAUCAUCGUGCGACGUUUCUGGUGAAAGGUGGUGGAAUGUUAACGACGCGGCGGAAAGAUAGAGAGAUUCUUGGAGAAUCGGCUUGCAGGCUUAACGUUUGCUAUGCGGAAUAACAGGACUUUCACGAUGGGCAAUCUAGGAUCUGCAUUCUCCACUCUUAAGAAUGACCCUUGAAAGGGAGACUCGAGACGAUUUGCAUACCAGGAUUUAUUGGCUACGUCGGAGCGCCGAUGAUAAUGUGAUCCGUUCGAAUUUACCGAACCUCAGCGUUGUACCAGCUUUCUCCGUUUUGUAACAUAACGUAGGAUGGAUCCUUACGAGACGAAGAGAAACAACUUGCAAGAGAGAAUUCUCCUAUCUAUGAAAGGAAAAAGCGCAGCUACGAAGCGCGGUUCGCUACAGGUGGUUUCAAAAGAUCGGUGGAUCUCAGGUCGAAGAAGAACCAUCGUGCCACGAUCUAUGCACACAUCGGGGCAACUCGCAAACCACUUCCCUCUCCUUUUGCAUCUGCUUGGACGCACGGAGCGUUCAGGAGAGCGGAUUUAAAACGAAGUUCGCGAGUGUAGGCGCGUUUCGGAACGAAAACAGACCGGUUCGCCAGGGCAGAGAGAGGCGCAACUCCAGCUUGUGGACCAAGCGACCGGCCAGCAUGGCGUCCCUUGGAUCCCUUUAAAACGAGUUAAUCCGUCUGCCUGGCCGUCUGCCGAUCGCCUGAGAACCAAGAAGAUUCAUUUUCCCUUUGUCCAUUCUUUUUCACACGUACCAAAAGGAGCUGCGGCUCAAUGGGACAAUGCAGCCAGCGCCGCGCGUUUUACGACGUUCCUUUUCGCACAGGUCCCACACACAUUUGAAUAAUCAACGCGUAGGCACAAGACCGCUUUUGUCGAACCGGGAACUCGAAAGGGAAAGAGAGAGAGAGAGAAUCAAGGAGAGGAAAGAGAAACGUCUCGAAGGCAGUCACGACAAAAGUGACACGCACGAUACGAAAUGAUUGUGUUGCAUAUUCUCGAACUGGACCCCGAAACACGGACAGAUGUUUCCCUUGCGUUCUCGUUUAGUUCGUCUCGAGAUCAUUUGUUCUGUCGCGCUACUAGAGCCAGAGGUGAAAAGACUACGCAUCGCGAUUACGUCAGACUUCCUUUCCUCCUUUUAAUUCGCGCGAGUUCGUUAACCUUCGACUCGUGAACUCUUCCUCUUAGCCGCUUCUCGAGGGAAUCUUCGUGGCCUUCUCUUUGCCCGUACGUCCCUUUCAAACGUUGCAUCGCGAACCUGGCCCUUGGUUUUUUGCCAAGGGUGAACGUUCUUCGAAAGAAAGCAACUCUUUUACAUCGUAUAAAGAAUCGUUUCUUUCACUUUUGUUUCUUUUGAGCAGACUCGACGAAAUGCUCGGACAAAUAUUACCAGGAUCCUGUGUGAUCCUUCCCGCGAAGCCUUCAACAGAAUACCAGAAAGAGUAACUUGAGAGAGGGAAUCGAUGUUCCUCGCCGCAGAUGUUCAUGCGUUUACGUAGACGGAGGGAAGUGUCUCGUAAAACCAUGUAAAUCUAAUGGACGAAGUUCGUUAACCUGACACGCGUGAAUUUAUGGCCGGUUCUCGAGGGAACAAAAGUGCCUUGAGAUCCUUCUGACGAACGAAACGCAUGUCGCACGUAUUUAGACGUUUUACGACUUCCUAUCGUUGCACGUAGUUCAUAACCGUGAACUUGGGAAUUCCCUCGCAACGGGACAUUCUUGAUUUAUUAUUGUACUAUUUUGUUUGUCUAUGUCCCUUGCAAUUUAAGGCGUUACGCCGGUUCACGAUAAAUCAUUCACAACGUUAACCGCAAAUCUCGAAAGCGACGUCGAACUGAAAAUUCCACAUUUUUAAUCAUUUUCCCAAUACAGACCACGAAAAUAUCCUGUUACGCUUCUUAUAACGGAGAAAUAAUUUUCCCAGAAAUAACAAUCGAUUUCGAAAGCAACGACGACUUGAGAGAAACUGACGCUGACUUUGGAUUAUUUUACCAAAACAGACCACCGUUACACCGUUGAAUCUCACAAAACUAGCUAUCAAUUUGCAAAACAACGUUGAUAAAAGUUACCAUUUGGUCCAUUUGUCCAAUACAAAUCUCAGACUUCUUUUACAUACUGUAUGUUUCAAAUCUAUUAUUCAAGACAUUCACUGACAAUCAUCUAAGAACUCCCCACCGUUACACACAGCACCCAUUUCUCGCUAACCACGCUCAAUAUUCACCACGUCGAUGCAAUUUCUCUCGCAUAACGUAAAUGGUACCGCGAUUUAUCUCU